This 2114-nucleotide ribosomal RNA is filed under the name Vibrio cholerae. Its description in RNAcentral is "partial 23S ribosomal RNA". It matches the Rfam family "Bacterial large subunit ribosomal RNA", at positions 1 to 2150 of the family's 2925-position model. Lineage: Bacteria; Pseudomonadati; Pseudomonadota; Gammaproteobacteria; Vibrionales; Vibrionaceae. The record is from RNAcentral.
GUUGUAUGGUUAAGUGACUAAGCGUACACGGUGGAUGCCUGGGCAGUCAGAGGCGAUGAAGGACGUACUAACUUGCGAUAAGCGCAGAUAAGGCAGUAAGAGCCGUUUGAGUCUGCGAUUUCCGAAUGGGGAAACCCAACUGCAUAAGCAGUUACUGUUAACUGAAUACAUAGGUUAACAGAGCAAACCGGGGGAACUGAAACAUCUAAGUACCCCGAGGAGAAGAAAUCAACCGAGAUUCCGGUAGUAGCGGCGAGCGAACCUGGAUUAGCCCUUAAGCACUCGGUGAAGUAGGUGAACAAGCUGGAAAGCUUGGCGAUACAGGGUGAUAGCCCCGUAACCGACGCUUCAUCGAGCGUGAAAUCGAGUAGGGCGGGACACGUGAUAUCCUGUCUGAAUAUGGGGGGACCAUCCUCCAAGGCUAAAUACUCCUGACUGACCGAUAGUGAACCAGUACCGUGAGGGAAAGGCGAAAAGAACCCCUGUGAGGGGAGUGAAAUAGAACCUGAAACCGUGUACGUACAAGCAGUAGGAGCACCUUCGUGGUGUGACUGCGUACCUUUUGUAUAAUGGGUCAGCGACUUAUAUUCAGUGGCAAGGUUAACCGUAUAGGGGAGCCGUAGCGAAAGCGAGUCUUAACUGGGCGCUCAGUCUCUGGAUAUAGACCCGAAACCGGGUGAUCUAGCCAUGGGCAGGUUGAAGGUUGAGUAACAUCAACUGGAGGACCGAACCGACUAAUGUUGAAAAAUUAGCGGAUGACUUGUGGCUAGGGGUGAAAGGCCAAUCAAACUCGGAGAUAGCUGGUUCUCCCCGAAAGCUAUUUAGGUAGCGCCUCGGACGAAUACUACUGGGGGUAGAGCACUGUUAAGGCUAGGGGGUCAUCCCGACUUACCAACCCUUUGCAAACUCCGAAUACCAGUAAGUACUAUCCGGGAGACACACGGCGGGUGCUAACGUCCGUCGUGGAGAGGGAAACAACCCAGACCGCCAGCUAAGGUCCCAAAGUAUUGCUAAGUGGGAAACGAUGUGGGAAGGCUCAGACAGCUAGGAUGUUGGCUUAGAAGCAGCCAUCAUUUAAAGAAAGCGUAAUAGCUCACUAGUCGAGUCGGCCUGCGCGGAAGAUGUAACGGGGCUAAGCAAUACACCGAAGCUGCGGCAAUAUCUUUUAGAUAUUGGGUAGGGGAGCGUUCUGUAAGCCGUUGAAGGUGAAUCGUAAGGUUUGCUGGAGGUAUCAGAAGUGCGAAUGCUGACAUGAGUAACGACAAAGGGGGUGAAAAACCUCCUCGCCGGAAGACCAAGGGUUCCUGUCCAACGUUAAUCGGGGCAGGGUGAGUCGACCCCUAAGGUGAGGCCGAAAGGCGUAAUCGAUGGGAAACGGGUUAAUAUUCCCGUACUUCUGACUAUUGCGAUGGGGGGACGGAGAAGGCUAGGUGGGCCAGGCGACGGUUGUCCUGGUUCAAGUGCGUAGGCUUGAGAGUUAGGUAAAUCCGGCUCUCUCUAAGGCUGAGACACGACGUCGAGCUGCUACGGCAGUGAAGUCAUUGAUGCCAUGCUUCCAGGAAAAGCCUCUAAGCUUCAGAUAGUCAGGAAUCGUACCCCAAACCGACACAGGUGGUCGGGUAGAGAAUACCAAGGCGCUUGAGAGAACUCGGGUGAAGGAACUAGGCAAAAUGGUACCGUAACUUCGGGAGAAGGUACGCUCUUGAUGGUGAAGUCCCUCGCGGAUGGAGCUGACGAGAGUCGCAGAUACCAGGUGGCUGCAACUGUUUAUUAAAAACACAGCACUGUGCAAAAUCGCAAGAUGACGUAUACGGUGUGACGCCUGCCCGGUGCCGGAAGGUUAAUUGAUGGGGUUAGCGCAAGCGAAGCUCUUGAUCGAAGCCCCGGUAAACGGCGGCCGUAACUAUAACGGUCCUAAGGUAGCGAAAUUCCUUGUCGGGUAAGUUCCGACCUGCACGAAUGGCGUAAUGAUGGCCACGCUGUCUCCACCCGAGACUCAGUGAAAUUGAAAUCGCUGUGAAGAUGCAGUGUACCCGCGGCUAGACGGAAAGACCCCGUGAACCUUUACUACAGCUUGGCACUGAACAUUGAACCUACAUGUGUAGGAUAGGUGG